RNAcentral lists this ribosomal RNA (1179 nucleotides) under Triticum aestivum (bread wheat). RNAcentral's name for it is "partial small subunit ribosomal RNA". Lineage: Eukaryota; Viridiplantae; Streptophyta; Magnoliopsida; Poales; Poaceae. The record is from RNAcentral.
AUGCGUAAGGUACUCGUGUGCUCGUCCAGUCUCGUCGAUGCGAUCCUUAACCGUGACGCCGGAAGGCCAGGUUCCGCUUAUAGCUUGGUGUUUUUCCGUCCGGGCACCGGUCAGCUCUCAUGGGUGCUUCUGCUUACCACCAAUAUGUAUGGGUACAAGCAUGGGUACAAGUAUAGGGACAUUGCCUUGUACCGUGGAAAAAUCUUCACGCUCAUAUCAUCAGAGCAGCUCUUCACCCAUGAGAUUGAACAGCCAUGUCGCGUCAAGCAUGUCAUCAAGGAACACACACCGCUGCCGCCGGGGAUCGGUCCAUCGUCGCCGAAGUUUCUUGUGAAGUACUACAUAGUCGUCUCAUCCGAUAAUAGAAAGUUACUAAUGGUGCGGUGGAACAUCCCUCACGCGGCCUACAUUCAUCAUUCAAAGAUGAAUCUGCAAGUGUUCGAGGCAGAUUUUGAGAAGAGACAGUGGUUGGAUGUGAACUUGGAUGGCCAGGUCCUCUUCCUGAGCAGGACUUGCUCAAGGGCACUCGCGGGCUCGUCGACGGAACACUACGGGCAGACAUUUCGAGGAAAUCGUGUGUUUAUCUUGGACACUGACUGGGCAAGGAUACGGAGGCGGUUGAACCCAUGCACGUGCCAUGAUUGCGAGAAGCUCGCCAAUGGCGUUCCAAGCUAUUGCGUGUAUGACAUGACAAGUGGAAAGCUUAGCCUUGUUUCAUUAUGCAAAAGUCGUAGAAUGACAAAUCCAGGUGACAGGCAUGCGUUGAGUGAGGCGACUCUGGGGGUGACCCGGCUGCCUGCAACCCUUCCCACCAGCCGGGGUGUCGGCGGGGGGGGGGGGGGGGGGGGGGGGGGGGGGGGAGGUUUUGCGCUCUCGCGGAGGAUGAGGCAGAACAUGACGCUGGCGCAUCCAUCGUCGGAGUGCUGGGAGGCGGCUUCGCUUACGCCAUCAGAUGUACUAUGCGAAUUUCUCGCGGUUGGAUAUUCGAAGGAAGUCGUCGUCAAUCUGGUCAACGUCGUCGUUCUAUUUGACGAUCCGGCUAGGGCCAAGCUGCGAGCAGAAGAUAGAGUGGAUGUGCUGCGGCGGGUCGUCGACGGCUGGCCCGGGAACAGAUACUUAACGAUGAUGACCCUAAGAGGGACACGAUGCAUUGCGCCACCACUGCCGCUUUCAUCCUAA